UACGAACCACACAAGCGUUAUUCGGAAUUACUGGGCUUAAAGGGUGCGUAGGCGGCGCAGAAAGUAGGGUGUGAAAUCCCUCGGCUCAACCGAGGAACUGCGCCCUAAACUACUGUGCUCGAGGGAGGUAGAGGUGAGCGGAACUUAGGGUGGAGCGGUGAAAUGCGUUGAGAUCCUAAGGAACACCGGUGGCGAAAGCGGCUCACUGGACCUCUUCUGACGCUGAGGCACGAGAGCUAGGGUAGCGAACGGG
This 253-nucleotide ribosomal RNA is filed under the name uncultured bacterium. Its description in RNAcentral is "partial 16S ribosomal RNA". It matches the Rfam family "Bacterial small subunit ribosomal RNA", at positions 524 to 776 of the family's 1533-position model. The record is from RNAcentral.